Molecule: non-coding RNA, 73 nt
Organism: Caenorhabditis elegans
Lineage: Eukaryota; Metazoa; Nematoda; Chromadorea; Rhabditida; Rhabditidae
Source: the annotation of a RefSeq genome assembly
GCACAAGUAGCUCAGCAGGUUAGAGGUUUGCAUUUGGCUCAAGAGGUCCCUGGUUCGACCCCCAGCUAUUGCA